This 2535-nucleotide ribosomal RNA is filed under the name Escherichia coli. RNAcentral's name for it is "partial 23S ribosomal RNA". It matches the Rfam family "Bacterial large subunit ribosomal RNA", at positions 375 to 2893 of the family's 2925-position model. The record is from RNAcentral. Lineage: Bacteria; Pseudomonadati; Pseudomonadota; Gammaproteobacteria; Enterobacterales; Enterobacteriaceae.
GUACACAAAAAUGCACAUAUUGUGAGCUCGAUGAGUAGGGCGGGACACGUGGUAUCCUGUCUGAAUAUGGGGGGACCAUCCUCCAAGGCUAAAUACUCCUGACUGACCGAUAGUGAACCAGUACCGUGAGGGAAAGGCGAAAAGAACCCCGGCGAGGGGAGUGAAAAAGAACCUGAAACCGUGUACGUACAAGCAGUGGGAGCCUCUUUAUGGGGUGACUGCGUACCUUUUGUAUAAUGGGUCAGCGACUUAUAUUCUGUAGCAAGGUUAACCGAAUAGGGGAGCCGAAGGGAAACCGAGUCUUAACUGGGCGUUAAGUUGCAGGGUAUAGACCCGAAACCCGGUGAUCUAGCCAUGGGCAGGUUGAAGGUUGGGUAACACUAACUGGAGGACCGAACCGACUAAUGUUGAAAAAUUAGCGGAUGACUUGUGGCUGGGGGUGAAAGGCCAAUCAAACCGGGAGAUAGCUGGUUCUCCCCGAAAGCUAUUUAGGUAGCGCCUCGUGAAUUCAUCUCCGGGGGUAGAGCACUGUUUCGGCAAGGGGGUCAUCCCGACUUACCAACCCGAUGCAAACUGCGAAUACCGGAGAAUGUUAUCACGGGAGACACACGGCGGGUGCUAACGUCCGUCGUGAAGAGGGAAACAACCCAGACCGCCAGCUAAGGUCCCAAAGUCAUGGUUAAGUGGGAAACGAUGUGGGAAGGCCCAGACAGCCAGGAUGUUGGCUUAGAAGCAGCCAUCAUUUAAAGAAAGCGUAAUAGCUCACUGGUCGAGUCGGCCUGCGCGGAAGAUGUAACGGGGCUAAACCAUGCACCGAAGCUGCGGCAGCGACACUAUGUGUUGUUGGGUAGGGGAGCGUUCUGUAAGCCUGUGAAGGUGGCCUGUGAGGGUUGCUGGAGGUAUCAGAAGUGCGAAUGCUGACAUAAGUAACGAUAAAGCGGGUGAAAAGCCCGCUCGCCGGAAGACCAAGGGUUCCUGUCCAACGUUAAUCGGGGCAGGGUGAGUCGACCCCUAAGGCGAGGCCGAAAGGCGUAGUCGAUGGGAAACAGGUUAAUAUUCCUGUACUUGGUGUUACUGCGAAGGGGGGACGGAGAAGGCUAUGUUGGCCGGGCGACGGUUGUCCCGGUUUAAGCGUGUAGGCUGGUUUUCCAGGCAAAUCCGGAAAACCAAGGCUGAGGCGUGAUGACGAGGCACUACGGUGCUGAAGCGACAAAUGCCCUGCUUCCAGGAAAAGCCUCUAAGCAUCAGGUAACAUCAAAUCGUACCCCAAACCGACACAGGUGGUCAGGUAGAGAAUACCAAGGCGCUUGAGAGAACUCGGGUGAAGGAACUAGGCAAAAUGGUGCCGUAACUUCGGGAGAAGGCACGCUGAUAUGUAGGUGAAGCGACUUGCUCGUGGAGCUGAAAUCAGUCGAAGAUACCAGCUGGCUGCAACUGUUUAUUAAAAACACAGCACUGUGCAAACACGAAAGUGGACGUAUACGGUGUGACGCCUGCCCGGUGCCGGAAGGUUAAUUGAUGGGGUUAGCGGUAACGCGAAGCUCUUGAUCGAAGCCCCGGUAAACGGCGGCCGUAACUAUAACGGUCCUAAGGUAGCGAAAUUCCUUGUCGGGUAAGUUCCGACCUGCACGAAUGGCGUAAUGAUGGCCAGGCUGUCUCCACCCGAGACUCAGUGAAAUUGAACUCGCUGUGAAGAUGCAGUGUACCCGCGGCAAGACGGAAAGACCCCGUGAACCUUUACUAUAGCUUGACACUGAACAUUGAGCCUUGAUGUGUAGGAUAGGUGGGAGGCUUUGAAGUGUGGACGCCAGUCUGCAUGGAGCCGACCUUGAAAUACCACCCUUUAAUGUUUGAUGUUCUAACGUUGGCCCGUAAUCCGGGUUGCGGACAGUGUCUGGUGGGUAGUUUGACUGGGGCGGUCUCCUCCUAAAGAGUAACGGAGGAGCACGAAGGUUGGCUAAUCCUGGUCGGACAUCAGGAGGUUAGUGCAAUGGCAUAAGCCAGCUUGACUGCGAGCGUGACGGCGCGAGCAGGUGCGAAAGCAGGUCAUAGUGAUCCGGUGGUUCUGAAUGGAAGGGCCAUCGCUCAACGGAUAAAAGGUACUCCGGGGAUAACAGGCUGAUACCGCCCAAGAGUUCAUAUCGACGGCGGUGUUUGGCACCUCGAUGUCGGCUCAUCACAUCCUGGGGCUGAAGUAGGUCCCAAGGGUAUGGCUGUUCGCCAUUUAAAGUGGUACGCGAGCUGGGUUUAGAACGUCGUGAGACAGUUCGGUCCCUAUCUGCCGUGGGCGCUGGAGAACUGAGGGGGGCUGCUCCUAGUACGAGAGGACCGGAGUGGACGCAUCACUGGUGUUCGGGUUGUCAUGCCAAUGGCACUGCCCGGUAGCUAAAUGCGGAAGAGAUAAGUGCUGAAAGCAUCUAAGCACGAAACUUGCCCCGAGAUGAGUUCUCCCUGACUCCUUGAGAGUCCUGAAGGAACGUUGAAGACGACGACGUUGAUAGGCCGGGUGUGUAAGCGCAGCGAUGCGUUGAGCUA